Camelus ferus (Wild Bactrian camel) is the source of this 72-nucleotide transfer RNA. It matches the Rfam family "tRNA". From Rfam's summary of the family: Transfer RNA (tRNA) molecules are approximately 80 nucleotides in length. Their secondary structure includes four short double-helical elements and three loops (D, anti-codon, and T loops). Further hydrogen bonds mediate the characteristic L-shaped molecular structure. tRNAs have two regions of fundamental functional importance: the anti-codon, which is responsible for specific mRNA codon recognition, and the 3' end, to which the tRNAs corresponding amino acid is attached (by aminoacyl-tRNA synthetases). tRNAs cope with the degeneracy of the genetic code in two manners: having more than one tRNA (with a specific anti-codon) for a particular amino acid; and 'wobble' base-pairing, i.e. permitting non-standard base-pairing at the 3rd anti-codon position. Lineage: Eukaryota; Metazoa; Chordata; Mammalia; Artiodactyla; Camelidae. The record is from Rfam.
GAGGGUAUAACUCAGUGGCAAAGUGCGUGCUUAGCAUGCAUGAGGUCCUGGGUUCAAUCCCCAGUACCGCCA